RNAcentral lists this ribosomal RNA (498 nucleotides) under uncultured Glomeromycotina. Its description in RNAcentral is "SSU rRNA". It matches the Rfam family "Eukaryotic small subunit ribosomal RNA", at positions 591 to 1092 of the family's 1831-position model. The record is from RNAcentral. Lineage: Eukaryota; Fungi; Glomeromycota.
CCAAUAGCGUAUAUUAAAGUUGUUGCAGUUAAAAAGCUCGUAGUUGAAUUUCGGGGUUAGUAAGUUGGUCAUGCCUCUGGUAUGCACUGGCUUUACUGAUUCCUCCUUCUUGAUGAACUGUAAUGUCAUUAAUUUGGUGUUGCAGGGAAUCAGGACUGUUACUUUGAAAAAAUUAGAGUGUUUAAAGCAGGCAUACGCUUGAAUACAUUAGCAUGGAAUAAUGAAAUAGGACGUUUGAUCCUAUUUUGUUGGUUUCUAGGAUUGACGUAAUGAUUAAUAGGGAUAGUUGGGGGCAUUAGUAUUCAAUUGUCAGAGGUGAAAUUCUUGGAUUUAUUGAAGACUAACUACUGCGAAAGCAUUUGCCAAGGAUGUUUUCAUUAAUCAAGAACGAAAGUUAGGGGAUCGAAGACGAUCAGAUACCGUCGUAGUCUUAACCAUAAACUAUGCCGACUAGGGAUCGGAUGAUGUUAUUUUUAAUGACUCAUUCGGCGCCUUACG